This is a long non-coding RNA of Pyrgilauda ruficollis (rufous-necked snowfinch), 723 nucleotides long. RefSeq lists it as uncharacterized. Lineage: Eukaryota; Metazoa; Chordata; Aves; Passeriformes; Passeridae. The record is from RefSeq and is a predicted model, not a curated record. The transcript has 4 exons.
AGAUGUGGGGUACAAGUGCCCAGGUGUGGGGUACAAGUGCCCAGCUGUGGGUGCAGGUGCCCAGAUGUGAGUCCAGGUGCCCAGGUGUGGGGUACAAGUGCUCAGGUAUGAGUCCAGGUGCCCAGGUGUGGGUACAGGUGCCCAAAUUUGGGAUCCAGGUGUCCAGAUGUGGGGUACAAGUGCCCAGGUGUGGGUGCAGGUGCCCAGAUGUGGUGCAGGUGCCCAGGUGCGGGCCCAGGUGCCCAGGUGUGCAGUGUGGGUGCAGGGCGUUGCAGGUGCCACCUGGGGAGCUCGGGGCCGGUGCCCCGGCACAGGGUGGCGCCUGUGAGCCAGGUGGUCACCGGGGCAGGUGACAGAGUGACCCGCGGGACACCUGGGACAGGUGACACCGUGAGCCAGGGGACAGUGACCAGGUGCCAGCUUUGGGGCCUGCAGGUGCCAGCUGACAGGUGACAGUGACCCAGGUGCCACAGGUGACACCGUGACCCAGGUACCAGCUGUCAGGUGACACAGUGACCCAGGUGCCAGGUGACACAGGUGACACAGUGCCCAGGUACAAGCUGCCAGGUGCCAGUUGUCAGGUGACACAGUGCCAGGUGCCCCAGGUGCCAGGUGACAUAGUGCCCAGCUGUCGGGUGACACAGGUGACACAGUCCCAGGUGCCAGGUGUGCCAGGUGUCCCAGGUGACACAGGUGACACAGUGCCCAGCUGUCGGGUGACAC